AAAGCAAAAAAUCGUGAAAUAGCCUUAAACUUAUUAUUUCUUUACUUAUUAAUAGCAUUCAUAAUUUUUAAUGGCUAAAAAAAAAGUUUCUAAGUUUAAAGGGGAGAUUUAAUAUAUAGACGAAAACAGUACCCAUAGCAGGACGGUUAUAUGAACUGGCAGCCAUUGUUGAUGUUGGCAUUGCUUGCUGGGGCCAGGAGAAUUCCACGAUUACAGCUCAAAUAGAAGGAGUGAGUGAGGCAGGAUGAAUCUGAUGGGUGCUUAGGCUGAGAGUCACGCCGCAGGGUCAGUGAGGGGUACGGCCGGCAGUAUGGUGACCCCCCCUACGGCGGCGGCAGGUCAUCACAGGAGUACUCAUGUGACAGAAGCAGCAGUGGGGGGCGGUCACAGGGGAGAGGGCUGAUGUCGAAGCCGUGGGAGGGGGAGAUGGUGCCUGGGAGUGGCAGGGUGGCUGGCCGGGCGCCGCAGGGGACGGCCACUGCUCCGGGCAUCAUGGCAUAUGGAUAACCUGGAGUCUGAACUGCCACUUAAUAUUCUCAACGCUGUGCUGACUAAUAAAGAAAAGGCACAGUGGGCAAGACUGGGAAGGCAGACAGAAGAGGAGGAUGGACUGGGACGGCCAGUACUAUGGGUCUGGCUGUGGCAUCCUACCCACUCCCCAGAUGCCCCCACGCUAACUGCCCUGGCACAACCCUAACAUUGGCCCUGCACACUCCUGGGGUGUGGUUGGGGGCUUUGUACUGGGGCGGCCAGGGCGGGGGCAGGGUGGAGCGACAGGGCCGGGGUACAAGAUGAAGAAAACGUUGCUGGCUAAGAAGAAAAUAGGAGCUAAGGAGGUUAAGACAAGUGGUGGUGGUGGUAGUGGUGCUGAUGGUGGUAUGAAACCAAGAAUAAGACUGCAUCAUCAGUCUGAUGAUAUUUGGAAUAUCAAUUAUUUAACUUCUGCAACACCUGAGGACAAGACAGGAGCCAGGUAGGAGGGUCAUAGGAUGCCAGUUGGAUGUGGUGAAGGAUGUUUUUUGUCUGGGAAGGAUAAUGAGGAAGUGAAAUUGAGUUGCUGAUUUGUAGAUAAAAUGAUAAAAGAUGAAUAAGUGAAAUGAAAAAAAAAAAUGUGUUUUGGAAUAUAUAGAACAGUGGGGCUUAGUGUGUGUGUGUGUGUGUGUGUGUGUGUGUGUGUGUGUGUGUGUGUGUGUGUGCUGGGGGAUGUAUCUUUGUUAAUUAGAAAGAAUAUAAGAGAUGAAUAUAAUGGUGGGAUAUAUAGCAAUUUUUUUUAGUUCAGAAGAAAUAAGUUUGGUUUGAGUUUAUAUAUGAAUGGGAAAAAGGCUAAAAGAGAGAGAGAGAGAGAUUUAUAAUGAACUGAAAUGUAAAGCAGUACAAAGCUGUAAAAGAAAGGGAUUGAUGUUUAGUUUAGAUUAAUUUGCGUAAAGUAGAGUAAAAAAAAAUGAUGUGUUUUGAGUUGAUGUAUCAGUGUAACCUAGAAAAUGGAGGAGAAAUUAUUGUUUCUUUAAAUUUUAUGUCAUUGUAAACUAGAAAAUAUAAAUAGUUUUUUUUCAUUCUAUAGAUCGUUAUAAAAUUGAAAAAUAAUAUAGCAG
Long non-coding RNA from Scylla paramamosain (green mud crab), 1592 nucleotides. RefSeq lists it as uncharacterized. The record is from RefSeq and is a predicted model, not a curated record. The transcript is spliced from 5 exons. NCBI's taxonomy places the organism in Eukaryota, Metazoa, Arthropoda, Malacostraca, Decapoda, Portunidae.